AACGAACGCUGGCGGCAUGCCUAACACAUGCAAGUCGAACGAGACCUUCGGGUCUAGUGGCGCACGGGUGCGUAACGCGUGGGAAUCUGCCCUUGGGUUCGGAAUAACUCGCCGAAAGGCGUGCUAAUACCGGAUGAUGACGUAAGUCCAAAGAUUUAUCGCCCAAGGAUGAGCCCGCGUUGGAUUAGCUAGUUGGUGAGGUAAAGGCUCACCAAGGCGACGAUCCAUAGCUGGUCUGAGAGGAUGAUCAGCCACACUGGGACUGAGACACGGCCCAGACUCCUACGGGAGGCAGCAGUGGGGAAUAUUGGACAAUGGGCGAAAGCCUGAUCCAGCAAUGCCGCGUGAGUGAUGAAGGCCUUAGGGUUGUAAAGCUCUUUUAACCGGGAUGAUAAUGACCGUACCGGGAGAAUAAGCUCCGGCUAACUCCGUG
This 433-nucleotide ribosomal RNA is filed under the name uncultured bacterium. Its description in RNAcentral is "partial 16S ribosomal RNA". It matches the Rfam family "Bacterial small subunit ribosomal RNA", at positions 29 to 507 of the family's 1533-position model. The record is from RNAcentral.